This is a long non-coding RNA of Zea mays, 1978 nucleotides long. RefSeq lists it as uncharacterized. The record is from RefSeq and is a predicted model, not a curated record. The transcript has 2 exons. NCBI's taxonomy places the organism in Eukaryota, Viridiplantae, Streptophyta, Magnoliopsida, Poales, Poaceae.
CUCUGACCCCUAGCCGCCACUCCUCUUGUUUCCGAGAUUUUUGACAUUAUAAAACACGGCAUGGUGGGCUUCAAUGAAAUGGAGGUGCUGAGAAGGGAUUCGACGAUUUGGAAACCCACACAACACACAGUCGCUGAUAUGGACAGGGAUUCUCUCUUAUGUGCGACAGAUAGAGAUUUAGCUGCUAGAGAUCUUGGUGCACAUUUUCCGGUCGGCUCCAGCUGCACUGCAGGGAAUGGGGAAUGGGGAGAAUAGGUCACAACAGCUAGUACUCCCAGCCGAUCUCCACCCAGCCAGCACUGCAAUGUGGAUGGCACCUAGCAUCUAUUGGAGAGAAUGGGAAGGAAGAAGAGAGAAGGAGAGCUGAUCUCUAGGAGGAACUCAUGGGCGACGGCGCCGGGAGCAGCGACGGCGUUGAGGACGGCAGCCAUGCCCACGCAGACUAAUCCUCACAACGGAGAAUUAAGCAGUGUCCAGCGCGCCUAAGAGAGAAUCCAUGUCUAUACCAGCGUCUGCACGUUGUGUGGGUUUUUAAAUCAUCGAAUCCCUUCUCAGCGCCUCCGUUUCGUCGAAGCUGGGUGUGUCGUGUUUUAUAAUGGCAAAAAUCUCCUUGUUUCCUAGCCGCUAGGCUGUUCCUCCUCAUGCCACUUCUCGCUCUUUGGCUUAGGCGCAGGAGCAGAGGCCUCCCAUGGCGCCACCCUCUCCCCCUGCAGCUUUCCCUCCCUCUCGGCCGCGCCCUCUGUCCUAGCUCCCUGCUAGCCACCAUCUCCAAGUCGGCCAUGGGCCUUCCCCCAUGCCCUCUUCUGCUCCAAGGCAUAGGAGCCUAAGGUCCUCCAUCAGCCGAACUUGCUCCUUCUGUCAUGGCCUCGCGCUCGACGGUGGCGACUCGUCUUCCCAAGCGCUUAGUGCUCCACCUCGCCGGGCCACCGGCCAACCUCGCCGGCCGAGCCCCUCCCCAGCGCCCAGCCUCCCCCAGCUGGGUGUCCCUCAAGCACAGGGAGCUUUAGCUCGUUCUCCUUCGCGUCCCCCUUGUUCCUCAUCUAUGCAGGUCUCCCGCCCUUCUCUGGUCUUGCCAUGGUGGGAGCCGCAGCCCCAAGUUUGUGACCUUGCCUCGGCUCCACUGUGCGUCGCCGCUCCCCCUGUGCACUCGCUUAGCCCCGCUUUGCACACUCGCCGCUGCUCCUCCAUGAGCGUUGCUUGCUCGACAAAAUGCACAACACACCACACGUCGUCGGUACCUUGCAGCAGCAAGGAACCCCUGCAUCGUGCCGCUACACCCGCGCCGUCGAUGCUUGCUAGGCGCUCGACCAAAUGCCUAAGCCAGCCUCACCCCUGCAGCAGCAACACCGUGCGUCCUGCUGCUAUAAUGCCUUGUACUCGCUAUCCCGCAACUCACGGUCAUCGCAGCGUGUUGUCUUGGUUUGGGUAGCGAGCGUCGUCUACGGUGUCAUGCUAUCCUUGUUUUCGUGGUCGCCGUCCCUCUCACAGUGCUUGCCUCUGCAGUGUGUCCGAACUCCUCCCCGUGUGAGCACCACCGGACAUGGCUGGCUUCUAGUCGUUGUCGUGACCGACGCAACUCCUCCACAGAGCACCCCCUUCACACACGUCACGUCCUACUUAUCAGCCUUGCGUCGUCGAUCCCUCGCCAUUCCACACUUCAACUCAUGCACUUGUCCCCGAGUGCAUUGUUACCCCAUGCAUCAUGGACGCGACGUCAUCGUCAUGUCUCCUUGCAAGCUUAUGGCUUUGCCAAAACUUGCAGGUGUGCAAAAUGGAUGAUCUCGUGGAAGAAGUAAAUUAAAAGGGUGAGAUAUUUCUUUAUGUUUUCUUACUAUUGUUAGUUGCCAUUUUCAUAUGCGUGAAGUGGAUUGGCGAAAUUUCUCUUAUGGACGCAAGUAGUGUAAACACGUAGGUGAAUCAGAGGAAAGGGCGAGUCAUGUCGUUUGAUGUGAUGAAUGGGAUUAGAAACAUUCGUUUA